RNAcentral lists this ribosomal RNA (492 nucleotides) under uncultured bacterium. RNAcentral describes it as "partial 16S ribosomal RNA". It matches the Rfam family "Bacterial small subunit ribosomal RNA", at positions 29 to 507 of the family's 1533-position model. The record is from RNAcentral.
AGUGAACGCUGGCGGUAGGCCUAACACAUGCAAGUCGAACGGCAGCACAGUAAGAGCUUGCUCUUACGGGUGGCGAGUGGCGGACGGGUGAGGAAUACAUCGGAAUCUACUUUUUCGUGGGGGAUAACGUAGGGAAACUUACGCUAAUACCGCAUACGACCUACGGGUGAAAGCAGGGGAUCUUCGGACCUUGCGCGAUUGAAUGAGCCGAUGUCGGAUUAGCUAGUUGGUGGGGUAAAGGCCCACCAAGGCGACGAUCCGUAGCUGGUCUGAGAGGAUGAUCAGCCACACUGGAACUGAGACACGGUCAAGACUCCUACGGGAGGCAGCAGUGGGGAAUAUUGGACAAUGGGCGCAAGCCUGAUCCAGCCAUACCGCGUGGGUGAAGAAGGCCUUCGGGUUGUAAAGCCCUUUUGUUGGGAAAGAAAAGCAGCAGGUUAAUACCCCGCUGUUCUGACGGUACCCAAAGAAUAAGCACCGGCUAACUUCGUG